ACGAACGCUGGCGGCGUGCUUAACACAUGCAAGUCGAACGGUGAAGCGCCUUCCUUUUUGGUGGGUGUGGAUGAGUGGCGAACGGGUGAGUAACACGUGAGUAACCUGCCCCCUUCUUCUGGAUAACCGCAUGAAAGUGUGGCUAAUACGGGAUAUUCUGGGUCUGUCGCAUGAUGGGUCUGGGAAAGAUAUUGUUUCGGUGGGGGAUGGGCUCGCGGCCUAUCAGCUUGUUGGUGGGGUGAUGGCCUACCAAGGCGGUGACGGGUAGCCGGCCUGAGAGGGUGGACGGUCACACUGGGACUGAGACACGGCCCAGACUCGUACGAGAGGCAGCAGUGGGGAAUAUUGCACAAUGGGCGCAAGCCUGAUGCAGCGACGCCGCGUGAGGGAUGGAGGCCUUCGGGUGGUGAACCUCUUUCGCCAGUGAAGCAGGCCUGCCUCGUUUGUGGGUGGGUUGACGGUAGCUGGAUAAGAAGCGCCGGCUAACUACGU
RNAcentral lists this ribosomal RNA (492 nucleotides) under uncultured bacterium. RNAcentral describes it as "partial 16S ribosomal RNA". It matches the Rfam family "Bacterial small subunit ribosomal RNA", at positions 29 to 506 of the family's 1533-position model. The record is from RNAcentral.